This 254-nucleotide ribosomal RNA is filed under the name uncultured bacterium. RNAcentral's name for it is "partial 16S ribosomal RNA". It matches the Rfam family "Bacterial small subunit ribosomal RNA", at positions 524 to 776 of the family's 1533-position model. The record is from RNAcentral.
UACGUAGGCAGCGAGCGUUGUUCGGAUUUACUGGGCGUAAAGGGUGUGUAGGCGGUUAUUUAAGUUUGGUGUGAAAUCUCCCGGCUCAACCGGGAGGGUGCGCCGAAUACUGAAUGACUUGGAGUGCGGGAGAGGUGAGUGGAAUUCCUGGUGUAGCGGUGAAAUGCGUAGAUAUCAGGAGGAACACCGGUGGUGUAGACGGCUCACUGGACCGUAACUGACGCUGAGACACGAAAGCGUGGGUAGCAAACAGG